AUCGACCGAUAGUGAACCAGUACCGUGAGGGAAAGGCGAAAAGAACCCCGGGAGGGGAGUGAAAUAGAACCUGAAACCGCAUGCAUACAAACAGUAGGAGCCUCGUCAGAGGUGACUGCGUACCUUUUGCAUAAUGGGUCAGCGACUUACAUUCUGUGGCGAGCUUAACCGAAUAGGGGAGGCGCAGCGAAAGCGAGUUCGAAAUGAGCGUCCAGUCGCAGGGUGUAGACCCGAAACCAGAUGAGCUAUCCAUGGCCAGGUUGAAGGUGUGGUAACACACACUGGAGGACCGAACCGACUAGUGUUGCAAAAUUAGCGGAUGAGCUGUGGAUAGGGGUGAAAGGCCAAACAAAUCUGGAGAUAGCUGGUUCUCCCCGAAAACUAUUGAGGUAGUGCCUCGUGUGUCGCUCCAGGGGGUAGAGCACUGUUUUGGCUAGGGGGACAUGGAGUCUUACCAAACCAAGGCAAACUCCGAAUACCUGGAAGCGUAAGCACGGGAGACAGAGCACCGGGUGCUAACGUCCGGACUCAAAAGGGAAACAACCCAGACCGCCGGCUAAGGUCCCCAAUAACAGCUAAGUGGAAAACGAAGUGGAAAGGCCGUGACAACCAGGAAGUUGGCUUAGAAGCAGCCAUCCUUCAAAGAAAGCGUAAUAGCUCACUGGUCGAGUCCUUCUGCGCGGAAGAUGUAACGGGGCUAAGCUGUUAACCGAAGCCGCGGAUGCACUGAUUAUUCAGUGCGUGGUAGGGGAGCGUUCUGUAAGUCUGCGAAGGCGGUUCGAGAGGACUGCUGGAGAUAUCAGAAGUGCGAAUGCUGACAUGAGUAACGUUAAAGCAGGUGAAAAGCCUGCUCGCCGUAAGCCCAAGGAUUCCUGCUCUACGUUCAUCGGAGCAGGGUGAGUCGGCUCCUAAGGUCAGGCCGAAAGGCGUAGCCGAUGGGAAUCAGGUUAAUAUUCCUGAACCUGCGUCAGAUGCGAUGGGGGGACGGAGCAUGAAAGAUCAUCCGGGUGUUGGAUGUCCCGGUUGACGAGCGUAGGAGGUCUGCAGGCAAAUCCGCAGACGCAUCUCCAAGGCGAAGUCACGUGCCGCCACGGCGGCGAAGUGAUCGGAAGUGCUUCCAAGAAAAGCCUCUAAGCACCAGUCUGGCGCGGACCGUACCGCAAACCGACACUGGUGGGCGAGCUGAAUAUGCUCAGGCGCUUGAGAGAACUCGGGAGAAGGAACUCGGCAAAUUGACACCGUAACUUCGGAAGAAGGUGUGCCGUAGUAGCGUGAGAGGAGAGACACCUUGAGCGUGAAUCGGUCUCAGAGAAUAGGUGGCUGCGACUGUUUAUUAAAAACACAGCACUCUGCAAAGUCGAAAGACGACGUAUAGGGUGUGAUGCCUGCCCGGUGCUGGAAGAUUAAUUGAUGGGGUGAGAGCCCUUGAUCGAAGUCCCAGUAAACGGCGGCCGUAACUAUAACGGUCCUAAGGUAGCGAAAUUCCUUGUCGGGUAAGUUCCGACCUGCACGAAUGGCAUAACGAUGGCCACACUGUCUCCUCCCGAGACUCAGUGAAGUUGAAAUGUUUGUGAUGAUGCAAUCUACCCGCGGCUAGACGGAAAGACCCCAUGAACCUUUACUGCAGCUUUGCAUUGAACUGUGAACCGAUUUGUGUAGGAUAGGUGGGAGGCAGAGAAGAGGCCACGCCAGUGGUCUUGGAGCCGACCUUGAAAUACCACCCUGAUUUGUUUGCGGUUCUAACCACGGACAGUGAUCCUGUCUUGGGACCGUGCAUGGUAGGCAGUUUGACUGGGGCGGUCUCCUCCUAAAGGGUAACGGAGGAGUACGAAGGUACGCUAGGUACGGUCGGAAAUCGUGCUGAUAGUGCAAUGGCAAAAGCGUGCUUGACUGCGAGAGCAACAACUCGAGCAGAUGCGAAAGCAGGUCAUAGUGAUCCGGUGGCUCUGAAUGGAAGGGCCAUCGCUCAACGGAUAAAAGGUACUCUGGGGAUAACAGGCUGAUACCGCCCAAGAGUUCAUAUCGACGGCGGUGUUUGGCACCUCGAUGUCGGCUCAUCUCAUCCUGGGGCUGUAGUCGGUCCCAAGGGUAUGGCUGUUCGCCAUUUAAAGAGGUACGUGAGCUGGGUUUAAAACGUCGUGAGACAGUUUGGUCCCUAUCUGCCGUGGGCGUUGGAAGAUUGACGGGGGCUGCUCCUAGUACGAGAGGACCGGAGUGGACG
Molecule: ribosomal RNA, 2221 nt
Filed under: human gut metagenome
Description: bacterial LSU rRNA
Rfam family: Bacterial large subunit ribosomal RNA
Source: RNAcentral